RNAcentral lists this transfer RNA (84 nucleotides) under Echinostoma caproni. It matches the Rfam family "tRNA". From Rfam's summary of the family: Transfer RNA (tRNA) molecules are approximately 80 nucleotides in length. Their secondary structure includes four short double-helical elements and three loops (D, anti-codon, and T loops). The record is from Rfam by way of RNAcentral. Lineage: Eukaryota; Metazoa; Platyhelminthes; Trematoda; Plagiorchiida; Echinostomatidae.
GGCCUUGUAGUUCAGCUGGUAGAGCCUGCGCUGUACAAAAGCGUAGGCGGCGUACAUGUUUGGGUUCGAAUCCCACCGAAGCUA